Molecule: ribosomal RNA, 113 nt
Filed under: Acanthosepion pharaonis
Lineage: Eukaryota; Metazoa; Mollusca; Cephalopoda; Sepiida; Sepiidae
Source: RNAcentral
UUACGGCCACAUCACGUUGAAACAUCGAUUCCCAUACGAUCACCGAAGUUAAGCAGCGUCGGGCCUGGUCAGUACCUAGAUGGGUGACCGCUUUGGAAUGUCUGUUGCUGUAG